Molecule: RNA transcript, 1274 nt
Organism: Dendrobium catenatum
Lineage: Eukaryota; Viridiplantae; Streptophyta; Magnoliopsida; Asparagales; Orchidaceae
Gene name: ubiquitin-conjugating enzyme E2 7
Exons: 7
Source: RefSeq, a predicted model, not a curated record
GAAAUCUACAACUCGUCUUUCUCGCUCACUCGUCCACCGGACUCUUGAGCCUAUAUAUUUAUCAAACCUGUCCGCUGGUUGGGCUUCGAAGGCUUCUCCGCUUCUACGUCAUUGCCUUGCCUGCAAGCAGAGCAUCCCAACGGACUCCUUGUCUCCUCUCCUUCCUCACAGGCUGUCGCGUUUUACCCAUUCCCUGAUCGUCGCUGAUGGCAGCGGCAAGCCAAGCAAGUUUGCUCCUUCAGAAGCAACUGAAAGAUCUCAGCAAAAAUCCGGUGGACGGCUUCUCCGCCGGCCUUGUAGACGAUUCUAAUAUCUUUGAAUGGAGCGUGACCAUCAUCGGCCCGCCGGACACGCUCUAUGAUGGUGGUUAUUUCAAUGCAAUUAUGAGUUUCCCACCCAAUUAUCCUAAUAGUCCUCCAACAGUAAGGUUUACAUCAGAGAUGUGGCAUCCAAAUGUUUACCCUGAUGGCCGUGUUUGUAUAUCAAUUCUUCAUGCACCUGGGGAUGAUCCUAAUGGUUAUGAGCUUGCAAGUGAACGUUGGACACCUGUACACACGGUUGAGAGCAUAGUUCUGAGUAUUAUUUCGAUGCUUUCAAGCCCCAAUGACGAAUCCCCUGCAAAUGUGGAAGCUGCAAGAAAAAUAAACGAGUGAUUUCAGAAUGUUCUCUGAUAAACUGGAACAUACCCGCAAGGGGUUACCCAAGGAAGAAUUUGUUGGUGGAAAGAAACUGAAAGUUCCAAUGAAUAGGCUGUGUUGGUGGGUGGAGAUGAAACAUAUUGGCUUGUGAGAGUUUGAUCGCUGGCUCAAGGAUUUGCAGCCAAUAAUCGUUAAAGGCAGUAUUGACUGGCUUCGGAAUGGCAAAAGAUUGGAGAGAUAGGAGGGAUGAAUUCAAGAAGAAAGUUCGGCUCAUUGUGAGGCGUUCCCAGGAGAUGUUGUAAGCAGCACAAAGCAUUAGCUCUGUUUAAAUUGCAAGCCUGGAUGAGUAUUCAGAAGAACAAGGAAGAGAGUCACCUGAUUUUCUUCUUGUCUUUAAUUGUUUGUCAACUGGCUUAUGUAGAAUUUCUGCAAGUUGAUCAUCUUAAGAAGAGACGCUGUCUCACUUUGAUUGUAGUGAAAUGACUCUGUAUUUCUAUAAGGUUUAUGAGUUUUAAUGAAAUUUCUUUUACUUGUUGGUUGGAUUAGCCAUUCUCAGGUUUUCUUUCUGCUCUAUUUAUCAAGGAAAAUAAUGUAUAUGAAAGAAGUUGAUUUUUAUUAUUUGGGGUCAUUUUUUUA